GACGAACGCUGGCGGCGUGCUUAACACAUGCAAGUCGAACGGAAAGGCCCUGCUUUUGUGGGGUGCUCGAGUGGCGAACGGGUGAGUAACACGUGAGUAACCUGCCCUUGACUUUGGGAUAACUUCAGGAAACUGGGGCUAAUACCGGAUAGGAGCUCCUGCUGCAUGGUGGGGGUUGGAAAGUUUCGGCGGUUGGGGAUGGACUCGCGGCUUAUCAGCUUGUUGGUGGGGUAGUGGCUUACCAAGGCUUUGACGGGUAGCCGGCCUGAGAGGGUGACCGGCCACAUUGGGAGUGAGCUGGGGCCGAGACUCCUAGGGGGGGAAGGGGGGGGAAAUAUUGCAAAGGGGGCGGAGGCGGAAUGCAGCAGCGCCGCGGGGGGGAGGACGGCCUGCGGGUUGAAACCCGCUUUCGCUUGGGAGAAAGCGUGAGUGGGGGUAGGGGGAAAAGAACCCCGGGAAAACUACGUC
This 468-nucleotide ribosomal RNA is filed under the name uncultured bacterium. RNAcentral's name for it is "partial 16S ribosomal RNA". It matches the Rfam family "Bacterial small subunit ribosomal RNA", at positions 28 to 507 of the family's 1533-position model. The record is from RNAcentral.